This 401-nucleotide long non-coding RNA is filed under the name Gossypium barbadense (sea-island cotton). RNAcentral's name for it is "long non-coding RNA (GBAR_LNC006540)". Lineage: Eukaryota; Viridiplantae; Streptophyta; Magnoliopsida; Malvales; Malvaceae. The record is from RNAcentral.
AGACUUUGAUCUCUUUUCUUUUCAGAUCAUAUAAUAAGAUACCUUUCCAUAUCCUCUAACCCAAUCCAACUUAGACACAAAGGGUGCCAGCCACUUAUAUUAUAGGCUUUCUUGGUAAGCUAAUCCUCAUACUCAGGUUCCCUAGAAGGGGAAACCCAAAAAUUCUCGGAUCAAUAAGAAGUCGUCUUACGUUCUAUCAAUAAACAACCAAAACGACCAGGAGGAUAGAAAGCAGUAGUGGUGCCAUUACCUUCACCUUUUCCUUUAGAAUCUCCACUCAACUCGAUGGGCAGGCUUCCCUCAUUGGAACGAUCCGAUCAAAAAAAUACCACAAAGUUUCCCUAUACGUAAAGCAUUUAAAGACUAUUCCCAAAGGAGUUUUACUCUUUUAUUAGCUUGUC